GAUGAACGCUGGCGGCGUGCCUAAUACAUGCAAGUCGAGCGAACAGACGAGGAGCUUGCUCCUUCGACGUUAGCGGCGGACGGGUGAGUAACACGUAGGUAACCUACCUAUAAGACUGGGAUAACUUCGGGAAACCGGAGCUAAUACCGGAUAAUAUUUCGAACCGCAUGGUUCGAUAGUGAAAGAUGGCUUUGCUAUCACUUAUAGAUGGACCUGCGCCGUAUUAGCUAGUUGGUAAGGUAACGGCUUACCAAGGCAACGAUACGUAGCCGACCUGAGAGGGUGAUCGGCCACACUGUAACUGAGACACGGUCCAGACUCCUACGGGAGGCAGCAGUAGGGAAUCUUCCGCAAUGGGCGAAAGCCUGACGGAGCAACGCCGCGUGAGUGAUGAAGGUCUUCGGAUCGUAAAACUCUGUUAUUAGGGAAGAACAAACGUGUAAGUAACUGUGCACGUCUUGACGGUACCUAAUCAGAAAGCCACGGCUAACUACGUG
RNAcentral lists this ribosomal RNA (497 nucleotides) under uncultured bacterium. RNAcentral describes it as "partial 16S ribosomal RNA". It matches the Rfam family "Bacterial small subunit ribosomal RNA", at positions 28 to 507 of the family's 1533-position model. The record is from RNAcentral.